This 465-nucleotide ribosomal RNA is filed under the name uncultured bacterium. Its description in RNAcentral is "bacterial SSU rRNA". It matches the Rfam family "Bacterial small subunit ribosomal RNA", at positions 29 to 524 of the family's 1533-position model. The record is from RNAcentral.
AACGAACGCUGGCGGCAUGCCUAACACAUGCAAGUCGAACGGGAUCCGAGCUUCGGUUCGGUGAGAGUGGCGGACGGGUGAGUAACGCGUGGGAACCUGCCCAGUGGUGGGGGAUAACUGCGGGAAACUGCAGCUAAUACCGCAUGAGCCCGAGAGGGGAAAGAUUUAUCGCCAUUGGAGGGGCCCGCGUUCGAUUAGGUAGUUGGUGAGGUAACGGCUCACCAAGCCUUCGAUCGAUAGCUGGUCUGAGAGGAUGAUCAGCCACACUGGGACUGAGAUACGGCCCAGACUCCUACGGGAGGCAGCAGUGGGGAAUAUUGGACAAUGGGGGGCAACCCUGAUCCAGCAAUGCCGCGUGAGUGAUGAAGGCCUUCGGGUUGUUAAAGGACUCUUUUGUCCGGGGACGAUGAUGACGGUACCCGGAGAAUAAGACCCGGCUAACUUCGUGCCAGCAGCCGCGGUAAU